This 462-nucleotide ribosomal RNA is filed under the name uncultured bacterium. RNAcentral's name for it is "partial 16S ribosomal RNA". It matches the Rfam family "Bacterial small subunit ribosomal RNA", at positions 28 to 504 of the family's 1533-position model. The record is from RNAcentral.
GACGAACGCUGGCGGCGUGCUUAACACAUGCAAGUCGAACGGAAAGGCCCUGCUUGCAGGGUACUCGAGUGGCGAACGGGUGAGUAACACGUGGGUGAUCUGCCCUGCACUUCGGGAUAAGCCUGGGAAACUGGGUCUAAUACCGGAUAGGAGCCAUUUUUAGUGUGAUGGUUGGAAAGUUUUUUCGGUGUAGGAUGAGCUCGCGGCCUAUCAGCUUGUUGGUGGGGUAAUGGCCUACCAAGGCGGCGACGGGUAGCCGGCCUGAGAGGGUGGACGGCCACAGGGGGACGGAGAUACGGCCAAGACUCCUACGGGAGGCAGCAGUGGGGAAUAUUGCACAAUGGGCGCAAGCCUGAUGCAGCGACGCCGCGUGGGGGAUGACGGCCUUCGGGGUGUAAACUCCUUUCGCUAGGGACGAAGCUUUUUGUGACGGUACCUAGAUAAGAAGCACCGGCUAACUAC